RNAcentral lists this ribosomal RNA (253 nucleotides) under uncultured bacterium. RNAcentral's name for it is "partial 16S ribosomal RNA". It matches the Rfam family "Bacterial small subunit ribosomal RNA", at positions 524 to 776 of the family's 1533-position model. The record is from RNAcentral.
UACGUAGGGGGCUAGCGUUGUCCGGAAUCAUUGGGCGUAAAGCGCGUGUAGGCGGUCCGGUAAGUCCGCUGUGAAAGUCGGGGGCUCAACCCUCGAAUGCCGGUGGAUACUGUCAGACUAGAGUACGGAAGAGGCGAGUGGAAUUCCUGGUGUAGCGGUGAAAUGCGCAGAUAUCAGGAGGAACACCGAUGGCGAAGGCAGGUCUCUGGGCCGAUACUGACGCUGAGGAGCGAAAGCGUGGGGAGCGAACAGG